UAAGGAUAUUGCCGGUGACAACCCGGAGGAAGGUGGGGAUGACGCCAAGUCAUCAUGGCCCUUACGGCCUGGGCUACACACGUGCUACAAUGGUCGGUACAGAGGGUUGCCAAGCCGCGAGGUGGAGCUAAUCCCAUAAAACCGAUCGUAGUCCGGAUCGCAGUCGACAACUCGACUGCGUGAAGUCGGAAUCGGGAGGUAAUCGCGAAUCAGAAUGUCGCGUGAUAC
Molecule: ribosomal RNA, 228 nt
Filed under: Pseudomonas sp. Vi60
Lineage: Bacteria; Pseudomonadati; Pseudomonadota; Gammaproteobacteria; Pseudomonadales; Pseudomonadaceae
Description: partial 16S ribosomal RNA
Rfam family: Bacterial small subunit ribosomal RNA
Source: RNAcentral